GAUUGUAUAGCUCAGUAUUAGAAUGUGUGCUUAGCAUGCACAAGGUCCUGGGUUCAAAUCCCCAGUACCUCCA
RNAcentral lists this transfer RNA (73 nucleotides) under Camelus bactrianus (Bactrian camel). It matches the Rfam family "tRNA". Rfam says of the family: Transfer RNA (tRNA) molecules are approximately 80 nucleotides in length. RNAcentral also lists the same sequence under 3 other names. The record is from Rfam by way of RNAcentral. Lineage: Eukaryota; Metazoa; Chordata; Mammalia; Artiodactyla; Camelidae.